Long non-coding RNA from Tachysurus fulvidraco (yellow catfish), 1946 nucleotides. RefSeq lists it as uncharacterized. The record is from RefSeq and is a predicted model, not a curated record. NCBI's taxonomy places the organism in Eukaryota, Metazoa, Chordata, Actinopteri, Siluriformes, Bagridae. The transcript is spliced from 2 exons.
UCAAUACAACAUUUAUCAGACUAUAUAUUUAUAAUCACACCGUCCAGUGUCUCCCAUAUGAGGAUGAGGUUCCCCUUUGAGUCUGGUUCCUCUCAAGGUUUCUUCCUUUACCAUCUAAGGGAGUUGAUUUUGGCAUGGCUGAUUUUGUUCAUGUGACUGUCUCGCCUGUACAGGCUUUAACUAGGGGCUGUAAAGUGUCUGGAUUCAGCUUGACUGAUAGCAGUUAUUGUCACUGUGGUGCAGUUUCCUGCUGAGGGAAUAUUUACAGCUCACGAGGACAAAAACAUCAAAAUAUUAACUUGUUCUAAUUUCAGUUGUAUAAACUGUGGCUUCAUAAAUUAUUGAAUUAUUAAAUAUAAUAUCUAUAUAUGUAACUAUAACUUAAUAUCUUUUUUUUUGACAACUUACCUCAUUUUCAUUUACCACUGUUGUGCAGUAACUAUAGCACAGUGAUUCAUACCAUAACAAAUACCUGAUAUCCCCAGUGUUCAACACAACACAAGUCUCUCAACAGGAUACACUUUGUGCUAUAUUAAAUAAUUCUUAUCCCAACAUUUUCUGUCUGUUCGGACUUUUAAUUGAUUGCAUUUAUUUGUCAUAUUGUUUGUCGCACUCUUUAUUUAGGGACGUGUAAAAGGCUUUUGACUGAUAUUUAUUUGAUUGGUGAUCUUUUUAAUCCUUUCAAAAUAUUUUCUGAGAUUUUAAAAAUGCAUCAAACACUGAAACAACAACAAUAUUAUGUGUUUUUAUGAAGUUAUGUUUACAUGUGCUGAACGAUUGUAAUUUUGUCAUUAUAUUAUCUUAUUCACAUGAAUUCAUGUGUGUUUAUGUGAAUACUGUUGAAACAACCUUGUUUUUCAUCACAUUACACUUGAAAAAAACAAUGAUCUGUUGUGAAAUGAGACGUAUCUGCCCCUCAAGUUAGUGGUUGACAUUAUUAGAUAUAAUGCAUGGUGAGUCGUAGACACAGUUCAGGGAUUUGGGGACUUAUCCUCUGUGAUCAACUGUUAGUGGAGGUUUUUGUCCCACUGUAAAUCACCGUGGCCGUAGCCGCCGUAGUUAUCACAAUGAUAUACAACACAACAAAAACCACAUCUAUAAUUUUAACUUCUGCCAUUCACGGGAUUUUGGUCACCCCUGUACAAAAGGAGGAGACGAGGAGCUGAGACAAACGCUGGCCUUACAGUAACUACAGGUGAUCCAAAUGAAUGAGCCAGGAGAAUUCUGGGUAACCGAGCUUUCCUGCAGCACCCUGCUCAAUGUACAAUGAAGGUUUUGGACCUCCACUGAGACGAGGCUGACUUUGUGAGGAUCCUGAGGCAUGUAGAGAUGUUCCAGGUCCAGUUGGACUCUGCUAUACUAAGAGGAGAUGCCAACUCCUUGUUGUCUUUGAGGACAACAAUCUCCUCAUUAAUACAACAUUUAUCAGGCUGUAUAUUUAUAAUCACACCCUCCAGUGUCUCCCAUAUGAGGAUGAGGUUCCCCUUUGAGUCUGGUUCCUCUCACGGUUUCUUCCAUUACCAUCUAAUGGAGUUGAUUUUGGUGUGGCUGAUUUUGUUCAUGUGACUGUCUCGCCUUAUAGGCUUAGUGGCUGUAAAGUGUCUGGAUUCAGCUUGACUGAUAGCAGUUAUUGCCACUGGGAUGCAGUUUCCUGCUGAGGGAAUAUUUACAGCUCACGAGGACAAAAACAUUAAAGUAUUAACUUGUUCUAAUUUCAGUUGCAUAAACUGUGGCUUGAUAUAUUCUUGAAUUAUUAAAUAUAUCUAUAUAACUAUGACUUAAUAUCUUUUUUUGAUAACUUACCUCAUUUUCAUUUACCACUGUUGUGCAGUAACUAUAGCACAGUGAUUCAUAACAUAACAAAUACCUGAUAUCCCCAGUGUUCAACACAACACAAGUCUCUCAACAGGAUACACUUUGUGCUAUAUUAAAUAAUUCUUAUCCCA